CCUACGGGAGGCAGCAGUGGGGAAUUUUGGACAAUGGGGGAAACCCUGAUCCAGCCACCCCGCGUGUGCGAUGAAGGCCUUCGGGUUGUAAAGCACUUUUGGCAGGAAAGAAACGUCGUGGGUUAAUACCCCGCGAAACUGACGGUACCUGCAGAAUAAGCACCGGCUAACUACGUGCCAGCAGCCGCGGUAAU
This 194-nucleotide ribosomal RNA is filed under the name uncultured Achromobacter sp. RNAcentral describes it as "partial 16S ribosomal RNA". It matches the Rfam family "Bacterial small subunit ribosomal RNA", at positions 338 to 524 of the family's 1533-position model. The record is from RNAcentral. Lineage: Bacteria; Pseudomonadati; Pseudomonadota; Betaproteobacteria; Burkholderiales; Alcaligenaceae.